This 479-nucleotide ribosomal RNA is filed under the name uncultured bacterium. RNAcentral describes it as "partial 16S ribosomal RNA". It matches the Rfam family "Bacterial small subunit ribosomal RNA", at positions 28 to 507 of the family's 1533-position model. The record is from RNAcentral.
GAUGAACGCUAGCGGGAGGCCUAACACAUGCAAGCCGAGCGGUAUUGUUUCUUCGGAAAUGAGAGAGCGGCGUACGGGUGCGUAACACGUGUGCAACCUGCCUUUAUCUGGGGGAUAGCCUUUCGAAAGGAAGAUUAAUACUCCAUAAUAUAUUUAACGGCAUCGUUUAAUAUUGAAAGCUCCGGCGGAUAGAGAUGGGCACGCGCAAGAUUAGCUAGUUGGUGAGGUAACGGCUCACCAAGGCGAUGAUCUUUAGGGGGCCUGAGAGGGUGAUCCCCCACAAUGGUACUGAGACACGGACCAGACUCCUACGGGAGGCAGCAGUGAGGAAUAUUGGUCAAUGGGUGCAAGCCUGAACCAGCCAUCCCGCGUGAAGGACGACUGCCCUAUGGGUUGUAAACUUCUUUUGUAUAGGGAUAAACCUACCCUCGUGAGGGUAGCUGAAGGUACUAUACGAAUAAGCACCGGCUAACUCCGUG